UGAGUAACACGUGAGUAACCUGCCCUUGACUCUGGGAUAAGCCUGGGAAACUGGGUCUAAUACCGGAUAUGACCGCUCUGACGCAUGUCAGGUGGUGGAAAGCUUUUGUGGUUUUGGAUGGACUCGCGGCCUAUCAGCUUGUUGGUGGGGUAAUGGCCUACCAAGGCGACGACGGGUAGCCGGCCUGAGAGGGUGACCGGCCACACUGGGACUGAGACACGGCCCAGACUCCUACGGGAGGCAGCAGUGGGGAAUAUUGCACAAUGGGCGCAAGCCUGAUGCAGCGACGCCGCGUGAGGGAUGACGGCCUUCGGGUUGUAAACCUCUUUCAGUAGGGAAGAAGCGAAAGUGACGGUACCUGCAGAAGAAGCGCCGGCUAACUACGUGCCAGCAGCCGCGGUAAUACGUAGGGCGCAAGCGUUAUCCGGAAUUAUUGGGCGUAAAGAGCUCGUAGGCGGUUUGUCGCGUCUGCUGUGAAAGACCGGGGCUCAACUCCGGUUCUGCAGUGGGUACGGGCAGACUAGAGUGAUGUAGGGGAGACUGGAAUUCCUGGUGUAGCGGUGAAAAUGCGCAGAUAUCAGGAGGRACACCGAU
Molecule: ribosomal RNA, 594 nt
Filed under: Paenarthrobacter aurescens
Lineage: Bacteria; Bacillati; Actinomycetota; Actinomycetes; Micrococcales; Micrococcaceae
Description: bacterial SSU rRNA
Source: RNAcentral